AAAUGGAUUCGUCUGCCCAAGGAUGGGUCUGCGGCCUAUCAGGUAGUAGUGGGUGUAAUGUACCUACUAGCCUACGACGGGUACGGGUUGUGAGAGCAAGAGCCCGGAGAUGGAUUCUGAGACAUGAAUCCAGGCCCUACGGGGCGCAGCAGGCGCGAAAACUUUACAAUGCGGGAAACCGUGAUAAGGGGACACCGAGUGCCAGCAUCCUAUGCUGGCUGUCCGGGUGUGUAAAAUACACCUGUUAGCAAGGGCCGGGCAAGACCGGUGCCAGCCGCCGCGGUAACACCGGCGGCCCGAGUGGUGAUCGUGAUUAUUGGGUCUAAAGGGUCCGUAGCCGGUUUGGUCAGUCCUCCGGGAAAUCUGACAGCUCAACUGUUAGGCUUUCGGAGGAUACUGCCAGACUUGGAACCGGGAGAGGUAAGAGGUACUACAGGGGUAGGAGUGAAAUCUUGUAAUCCCUGUGGGACCACCUGUGGCGAAGGCGUCUUACCAGAACGGGUUCGACGGUGAGGGACGAAAGCUGGGGGCACGAACCGGAUUAGAUACCCGGGUAGUCCCAGCCGUAAACGAUGCUCGCUAGGUGUCAGGCAUGGCGCGACCGUGUCAGGUGCCGCAGGGAAGCCGUGAAGCGAGCCACCCGGGAAGUACGGCCGCAAGGCUGAAACUGAA
This 672-nucleotide ribosomal RNA is filed under the name uncultured archaeon. RNAcentral's name for it is "bacterial SSU rRNA". It matches the Rfam family "Archaeal small subunit ribosomal RNA", at positions 187 to 859 of the family's 1478-position model. The record is from RNAcentral.